Stegodyphus mimosarum is the source of this 73-nucleotide non-coding RNA. The record is from Rfam. Lineage: Eukaryota; Metazoa; Arthropoda; Arachnida; Araneae; Eresidae.
GCCUUCGUGGUGUAAUGGUCAGCACACUCGGCGCGCAUUCAAGAGGUCCGAGGUUCGAGUCCCGGCGAGAGCA